AACGGAGAGUUUGAUCCUGGCUCAGGAUGAACGCUGGCGGCGUGCUUAACACAUGCAAGUCGAACGAACCUUCGGGUUAGUGGCGGACGGGUGAGUAACGCGUGAGAAUCUGCCCUCAGGAGGGGGAUAACGGUUGGAAACGACCGCUAAUACCCCAUAUGCCGAGAGGUGAAAUGAAUUUCGCCUGAGGAUGAGCUCGCGUCUGAUUAGCUAGUUGGUGUGGUAAAGGCUCACCAAGGCUUCGAUCAGUAGCUGGUCUGAGAGGAUGAUCAGCCACACUGGG
Molecule: ribosomal RNA, 283 nt
Filed under: Synechococcus sp. Baikal-G1
Lineage: Bacteria; Bacillati; Cyanobacteriota; Cyanophyceae; Synechococcales; Synechococcaceae
Description: partial 16S ribosomal RNA
Rfam family: Bacterial small subunit ribosomal RNA
Source: RNAcentral